RNAcentral lists this ribosomal RNA (4731 nucleotides) under Clonostachys compactiuscula. RNAcentral describes it as "large subunit ribosomal RNA". The stretch from base 32 to 2441 matches the Rfam family "Bacterial large subunit ribosomal RNA". Lineage: Eukaryota; Fungi; Ascomycota; Sordariomycetes; Hypocreales; Bionectriaceae. The record is from RNAcentral.
AAGAUAUAUAAUUGUUAUUUAUAUAAAUACAAGUAUAUAAAGAAAUUAUUAUGGAAUUUUAGCUGUAUAUUAAAGAGAAAGUAGUAUAAACAUGAAAAAUAAGGCUAUUUUAGUCAUUAUAAAUCAUAAUUUAAAUUAACUCUAAGAAAAAUCUUUUAAUAAACGAAGUGAAUUGAAAUAUCUUAGUAGCUUUAGGAAUAGAAAUCAAAAGAGAUUCUACAAAUAGCGUGAGUGAAAGUAGAGAAGUCUAAAAAGUCAAAUGGUUAAUAAACUGUUUAAAUGGGGAACCUUCCUCAAAGACUAAAUAUAAUAUAUAAGCGAUAGUGGUUGAGUACCAUGAGGGAACAAAAAAAAAAUAGUAAUUUUAUAAGCAGUUCGAUGCGUAAGCUAAAGAACGUACCUUUUGCAUAAUGGGUCACCAAGUUAACAUUAGAUGCGAGAAAAUUCGUAGAUAAACCGGACGUUAAAAUAACGUCAGAGUGUCUAAAGUUAGACCCGAAGCCAGGUGAUUUUACCAUGGUCAGGAUUAUAAAAGUCCGAACCGGUUGUUGUAGCAAUAACAUCGGAAGAACUGUGGUAGGUGUAGUGAAAGACAACACUGACUUGGAUAGCUGGUUUUCUGCGAAACCUAUAAUAGUAGGAAAUUUAAGUAAAUAUAUCUUAGCAGGUACAGAAAUUAAUCUCAGACAAGGCAAUUUCGUCUUAUUUUGUACAAAUUGGGGGAUCGUGAAGAUUUUAUCAGUGAGUAUGCAGACUCGGAAUGGCAAAGAUAUAACUUGAAUUAUCAGACAUAGUAUGAUAAGGUAGUAUGUCAAAAGGGAAACAGCCCAGAACAAGAGUUAAGGUUCCUAAAUUUAUAGUUAAGUGAAAUGAAGAAGGUCUUUAUUCAAGUCGACAAGGAGAUAGGCUUAGAAGCAGCCAUAAUUUUAUGAUCUCGUAACAGAGCGCUUGUUAAGUUAUAAAGGCAUCAAUAAUAUAACGGAUCUAAACUAUAUACCGAAAUCUUGUCCAUAAAAUAUUAUAAUAAUAAAAAUAAUAAUAAUUUUAUGGGGUAGCAGAACGUUGAGUUAAAUUAUGACUUUUAUUUUUUAAAUAAAAAUAUAAUAAUAGAACUCAAGUGAUAAUGGUGACAUGAGUAACUAAAAGAAAAAUUAUUUUCCGCCUUAAGCUUAUGGCUAGAUUUAAGUAACGGCCCCUAAGUUUAGAUAUUAUCUAAAGAUUUAAACGAUGGGUAAAUCUUUUUUACUAAUGACGACAUUUUUUUGUGGAAAAUGUACUGGAAAAAUAGUAAUAUACUCGUUUAAGGCGCAAGCUCAUAAACGAAUGAAAAAUAACCGUACCUAGAUACUGAAACAAGUAAGCAAGUAGAGUAUACGAAGGCGUGAUUGAGCUAACAAUCAUAAAGGAACUCGGCAAAUUGACUACUGUAACUUCGGAAUAAAGAGGGCUCAUUAUUCUUGAUUAAUAUCAAGUAAAGAGGAAGAAGCAUGAAAUAAUGUUGUACGACUGUUUAAUUAAAACACAGCACUUUGCUUAAAGAUAAAAAAAUCUAUGUAUAAAGUGUGAAAUCUGCCCGGUGCCGGCUGGUUAAUGGAGAUAAUUGAAUGAUCUAACAUUUGAUGUUGACAGAACCCCCGGUUAAAGGCGGCCUUAACGUGAGGGUCCUAAGGUAGCGAAAUGCCUUGGCCGUUAAAUGCGGUCUUGCAUGAAUGGUGUAACGAUACAACAGCUGUCUCUAUGAUUGACUCAGUGAAAUUGGAAUAGCUGUGCAGAUACAGCUUACCUCUAGUUAGACGAGAAGACCCUAUGCAGCUUUACUGUCACUAAUUAUAGAAUAUGAUAAACAUCUUUCAGACUAAAAGGGAAUAGAUAAUAUAAACAUGAGAAACCUUUAUUUUUUUUUCAUACGAAUGAGACGGUUUAAGACUUUGAAUCUUCAAUUUUUUAAACACAACUAGUCUCUGCCUAUUUUAUAGGUACCCUUAGAUAAGGAACUAUGGUUAGGAGACAGUUUAUGUGGGGCACAGACCCUGUAAAGAGUAAACAGGAGUGUCUAAUAAUUUACAAUAAUUUUGUUUGUAAUUUUGGGUAGUUUAACUAUUCUUAAUCAUAUACAUUUAUUUAUAUAUACAUUGUACAUUUUAAUGUAUGACUGCAUAUAUAUUUAAAAAAAGGUAGGAUUUUUACUAUAUAGAAAUUAGAGAUAAUUGAAAAGAUUAUAAAAUAAUCUUUUCUAGCUAUUAACUAAAUAAUAGUGGUGAAAAUAUCUAGAAAGCUCAACGGCUAAAUCUUGCCUUACUGUUUGAUUAUCUACAAAUCUUACAGUUGCGUAAGCAGGGCAUAGGAUCACAAGAUGCAAUAAGGAAAGAUCUUGGAUUAUUGGAAAAGCUACGCUAGGGAUGUUUGUCCUUUAAUAUUUUAUGAAAUAGAGCUAAAGCUCUAUAUAAAAUAAUUGAUAUAAAUUGGGUAAAUUUCAAGAAUUACUAAUUCUUUUUUUAGUAAAUUUGAAGCGAAAUUUAUUUUAGCAUAAAUUUUAAAAUAAAAACGUUCAACGACUAUAAGGUGAGUGUUUAUGCAUAAAUACACGAUAAUCCUUUAUUACUACCCAACAUUUUUAUAGCAUAUUAAUAUAUUAAUAAAUAAAUAAAAGAAAUAAAACAAAAUUCUAAAAUAUAAUGAAUAAAAACCUAAAUAAAACUAAAAUAUUUAAUAAUAAUUUAAAUCAAAAUUCUAAAAGUAUACUUUUAAGAUCAAAGUUAAAUUUGGUAGGUACUACAAAAUAUUUACCUUCAUUUUCUAAAGAGUGAAGAAAUAUAAUAUAUUCUUUUAAUAAAAAUAAUUUAAAAAAUAUUCCAGCUAAUGAUGUUAAUGUAAAUAAAAUAGUACAAAGUUAUUUUGAUUUAUUUUUUAAAAAUCAAAAUCAAUUUAUAGGUGUAAAAAGAGUAAAACUUUUAAAAAGACGUAAGUUUUUAAGAAGAAUUUUUGUAAGUAAUGUAGAAAUUAAACAUACUAAUAAUAAAGCAAAAAUAACUCUAUAUACUAUAAAUAGAGAAAAAAAAAUACUUAAAGAAAAAUAUAUAAAAUUAUAUAAAAAAAUAAGCUUUAAAUUGUUUAAAGAUUAUAUUUACUUAUACAAAAAUCAUAUGAAUAAUAUACAUUCAUUUUUGUGUGGAGGCGCAAGCUCUAAUAAUAGUGCAUUAGCAAAAACUCUGAAAAUUAGAAAUGAAUAUUUUUUUGAGGCGGAUUUAAUAAGAAAAAAAAAUUAUUUAAAUCAUAAAUGAAAUUAUUUACAAAUCUUUAUAAAAUUAAAUAAUCUUUUAUUAAGAAAAACAUGAAGUUUACUAAUAAAAAAUCAAUCUAAAAAUUAUAUACGUUUAUUAAGAAGAUAUAAUUUAUCAUAUUCUCUUAAUCAAUUUAAAUUUAAUAAAUUAAUAUUAUUACCUAAAUUAAGUAAUUUAUUAAGUAAAAUAAUAGGAAAAAAAGUAGAAUAUAAUAUUAUAAAUUUAAAAUCUAUUUCAUAUAAUGCUGAUCUUUUUACAAAGAUAUUAGCAUUAAAAAUAAAAAAAAUUAAACAAGGACAUGUAAGAAGAAUGUUAGCUGUUAUAAAUAAAGCAUAUUUACCUAAAGUAAAUACAAUACAAGAAAGAACUAAAAUACAAACUUGAGAUAAUAUUGAUGUAUUCCAAAAUAAUUAUAAAGAUUUAAAAGUUCUUUCUAAUAUGGGCAUAACUUGCGCAGCAAGCUAUAGCUCUAAAAAAGAGAACAUUUCUGAAUUAUUAACUACAAUUUAUAACGAUACAAAUAAUUCUGAGAAUAUUCAUAAUUUAAUUUAUAAUUCUAUUGGUUAUAAAAAUAUGAGAGGGAUAAAAAUAGAAGUUAAAGGUAGAUUAACUAAACGUUAUAGAGCGGAUAGAUCAGUUUAUUCUUUAAAAAGAAAAGGUGGAUUGAAAAAUAUAAAUUCAUCUUUCCAAGGUUUAAGUUCAGUUUUGUUUAGAGGAAAUACUAAUUCUAAUGUUAGUUAUUCUUGAGCUAAAUCAAAACGUCGUGUUGGAGCUUUUGCAGUUAAAGGUUGAAUUGCAGGUAAAUAAAUAUUAAAGGAAACAUAUUAAUAAUAUAAAAAUGAAGACAUAGUCUGAACCAUUCUGAGAAGAAUGGAAAAAACGAUAACAAAUAGAACAGGCUAAUUUGCGCAAGAGUGUACAUAAUGAGUGCGCGGUUUGGCACCUCGAUGUCGGCUUAACUUCUCCUCAUGGAUGCAGAAACUAUGUAGGGUGCGACUGUUCGUCGAUUAAAAAGUUACAUGAGCUGGGUUAAAUACGUCGUGAGACAGUAUGGUUUCUAUCUUCUAGAGGGAAUUAGAAUAAAAUAAGAAGGAACUUUUGUACGAAAGGAACAAGAAGAAUUUAAUUAGUUCUGCUAAUUAGAUAAUAGUUAUGAACCUAUGGUUUACCUGUUGUUUAUGUGUCUAAAUAUUAAAUAUGCAUAUUUAUAUGCAUACUUGUACUAUUGUACAUAAGAAUGUUUCUUUCACUAAGAUAAAUUGAUUACAUAGGCACGGCAGGAAAGCUAAGUUUGUUAAAGAUAAGUGCUGAAAGCAUAUAGGCACGAAGCUUCCCUUUGGAUAUUUCUUAAAUAUGCGUAAUAUACUAUUACGAAAAUACUAUAUAGGCUUAAUCUGUAUUAAUCUUGAGAUUUUUAAGAAUAAAGUACUAAUUUAAUAAAUCACUAUAU